This 6703-nucleotide long non-coding RNA is filed under the name Jatropha curcas. Its description in RNAcentral is "long non-coding RNA (JCUR_LNC003231)". Lineage: Eukaryota; Viridiplantae; Streptophyta; Magnoliopsida; Malpighiales; Euphorbiaceae. The record is from RNAcentral.
CUCAUCUCAGCUGAUCUGGCUGGCUCCUAUCGUUCUUCUAUUUUAUAAUUAUCUAUACUAGUAGUAGUAUCUCGUGCAAAAGCUGCUGCUACGAUGUCGUUCUACUAUUACGCCAAUCAUGAGAUUCAUGACCGGCUGCUUUUGUCUAUACGCUUUUCAUAAAUCCCCUGAAAAGCACAUAUCAAAACGAUUUGGCACACCCCUAUUGUUUAUACUCUGUAGGCUUCGAGUAAUUUCUAAAAUAAUUUAUCUUCUAUUAUCAUGAUAUAUUUAAAAUAAGUUUUCCUGAAAUAUUUACUAAGUAUAUGAUAUCCUAAUUAAUAAAAAAAGUUAUUUGUUGAGAUUAAUUUCAUUAUUUUAUACAAUAAAAAAUUACUUUGUCCCAUAAAAAUAUAUUUACUUUUCUAUUCACUUAUCUAAAUUGCAUUCUUAUUUAUUUUUCUAAAAGAAUAUAAUCCUUUUAAUUUUCUACUGUACCCUUAUUUAGUAUGAAUCUUUAUCAAUAGUAAUUAUAUUAUUAUUAUUAUUAUUAUUAAAUUUUGAAAUAGGUAUUUAAUCAAAAUAUAAAAUUUUUUCAUAUUUCAGUUUAAUUAGGAAAAAUUAUAAGAAUAUUAAAAAAAUUAUGAUUUAACUAUAAAUUAAGAGUUAAAUUAAAUAUAUUUUUUACGGGACAAAAAAUAAACUGAAUCCAUAAAAGAACUCGCAUGAGGAUGUAGGGGAGACACGAAGCCUAGCUGUGCUACGCCCUUCGCACCUAACAGACCAAAGCUCAUCUAAUCACUCAAAUCCACGUGUCGUCAAUCUAAGAAUUGAGGAAACAUUCAUCCAACGGUGAACAUGGGAUGGAAUAACUGGUAAUACAAACAAGAUAGACUUGACCAACGAGACAGAUCAAACUGUCGUUCUCCCUAUCUAUUCGCCCCUCUUAUAUGCUCUUUUUGCAGCUUCUGGUCUUUGGUUUCCACUUUCCAGAUUAAGCAGACGAGGAGGAAUAAUGGCUUUGGAGGUGAAAGCACUACCGUUCACGUUUGUUACACACGCGCUUGCAGUUGCAGGUGCAAUUUUGGUAUUGGUUUGGUGCAUAUAUUUCAGGGGCGGCCUAGCUUGGGAAGCUUCUAACAAAAGUCUCAUCUUCAAUGUAAGUGUCUCUGUUGUUCUUCUUAAUUUGGUCUGUGCUAUCUAUCCGUUUUGCGUUUUCAGGUAAAUUAAUCCUGUUUUCCCGAUCCUCAUCUAUCUCCUCCUAAUUUCUUGUGGUACUCAUUCAUGACAGUCGUUUUGUUUGUUUCUGAGGCCACUCAAUUCAUGCUUAUCAGAAUCAAAGGUUCUCGUUUGAUUGUGUCAUUGUAGUUACCGCCGUUUCUAUCAGCUUGUCGUUUUACUUUUACAAUUACCAAACAAUUAUUAUUAUUAUUAUUAUUAUUAUUAGGUUUUAAUAUUCUCUUUGAAGCUAUGGCUAAUGAAAGAGAGAAUGUUGACUUGCAAUUUGCCAUUAUCAGAAGUUAAAGGAUUUGGAAUUUUUUAUGAUAUCCUUUGUCUUAUAGAAUUAGAUGCUGCAUUGACUCUUUUUAAGACACUCAAACAGCUCACAAUAGUCGUCUUUAGUUGAUGUUUUAAUUUGUAACAACUUUUAUUUUCAUUUUUAUUUUUAUUUUUUUUUUAAAAAGCUAGGAGGUUGUAGAUUGGAUUCUUGAUAAUUUUGUAUGCUAUGGAAGCUUCAUUCUGAUUUGUGGGUGUAAUGACUUGGUAAAUAUUGCUUUUUUUAAUCAAGGGGUUAGCUAGAGUAAAAUCAGGUAAGACUAAUCAUAAAUUUUGCUCUUAGCACUUGUCCCAUUUGUACCAACUACCCUUCUCAUUCAUACCAGAAAACUCUCUACAACAACCAAUUGUCAUCCAUGCUGAAUUUUAGUUUUAUUAGCUAAUUUUCAACUCACGUCCUCACCAACUCUUCAAUUUUUUUUUUUCAAUAGAUAAUAAUAUAUAACGAUUACAUUAUUAAACAAUAUAACUAAUAAUUAUUAUUUUAACUGUUCAAAAUAAUAAUAAUAAUAAUAAUACCUGCCCAUACUUAACAACAUAGGUGAAAAAAUCUUUACAACUUUAACUUUUAUCUAAUUUUACCACUAGCACAACAAAGACUAACCGUAAUAAAACAAAUAACUAAAUAAAAAGACAAUAGGUGGAAAAUAUAGCUAGCUAAUUUUAAAAUCAAAAUUGAAUUUAUCCUUUUAAUGUAUGUAGUCAAUAUUACAAACUAAAUACAUUUUUCACCUAUUUUCUUUUCUCCGAUGUUCAACGAGGUGGAGAUGCUUAUCUUGUUUUUUUGGACUUUUUUUGAGCAAUCACGAGGUUUAUGACUAAUCAGUAUUCAAUGAUGUGGCGAUGAAUAGAAGAUAAAAAAAAAGCCUUUUUUUUUUUUUUUUUGUUAUUUUUUGUGGUUAAUAUGCCAAGAUUUGUCUCUUGUCAUUGGCCAGUUGCAAAGUAAACCAGUUGCAAAGUAAAGUGAUAAUAAUUCACUUUAUUUUCCACGUCUUUAAACACCUAUUUCUUUCUUCUUAAAAAAUAAAAAUUUCAAAUAUCAAAUCGGAAACAAAUUUUACAAGAAAAGGUAAAAUCAAACACCAAAAAUUUGUAUUAUUAUCUUUAUUCUGAACAAAAUAUUAUAAUUUUUAAGUCAAAUUCUAUUUCUAAUUUGUGCAAUUACGAUGUCUAUUUCUAAUUUUUUUUUUUUUUUUUUUUAUGAAGAUUAAAUGUUCUCAAUUCAAAUUAUAUUGAUAUAUUCGGCAUCUGGAUCUAAAUAUUUCCUGUUACGUAUGCAACAGAUUCAUCCUGUUCUGAUGCUAAUUGGCUUAAUCAUCAUAGGAGGAGAAGGUAAUCAUCUGAUGCUUUUUAUUAGUUACAAAUUAUGUAAUGAAAUUUAAUGAUUUUUUUUUUUUUUUUUUUUAGCUAACUAACUUUAUUUUCCUCUGUGAAAAUACAAAGUGCAGCCAUUAUAAGUUAUAAAUCUCUUCCUUUCAAGAAACAAGAGAAGAAACUGAUACAUCUGGUUCUCCACGCCGUUGCCCUAAUACUGGGUAUUAUUGGCAUCUACACUGCUUUCAAAUUUCACAAUGAGAGUAGCAUUGCCAACCUUUACAGUUUGCAUUCUUGGCUUGGGAUCACAAUCAUUUCCCUUUAUGGCAUUCAGGUAAGUAAUUCAUUCUCACUAAUUAAUUAUAACUUCUUCAUCUAAUUAAUUUUUCAUGAUAGGUUACAUGAGUUCAUAAUGUUCUACUCGUACUAUUUAGUAAACAUCUUUAACAUGAUUAAGAGCUCAAACCCUAAAAAGGAACUUUUUGACCUAAAAAAUGAAUAUAUUAAUUUCUUGGCAGUGGAUAUAUGGGUUCAUUAUAUUCUUCUACCCUGGAGGAUCGACUGGACUUAGAAGCGAAUCUCUACCAUGGCAUGUGGUUUUUGGGGUGUUGGUGUAUAUAUUAGCAGUUGCAAAUGCAGCAAUCGGUUUCUUGGAGAAGCUGACAUUCCUUGAGAGCUCCGGACUUGCUAAAUAUGGAUCGGAGGCUUUGCUUGUCAACUUCACUGCUGUGCUCACAAUAUUUUAUGGGGCCUUUGUCAUUUUCACAGUUCUUGGUCAGGGUCCGCCCGCGGAAGAGGAUCAUAGCUACACGGCUAUAUAAUGUGUAUUUUAGUAGAAACAUAACUAGGAUCGAUGUCUAUUAAUCCUUAAUUAGCAUUUGUAGCUAGAUCUAUUAAAAUGGCUGUUUCUGAUUAAUUAAAAUCAUGUAUAUCAUAUGUUGUACUUCAUCAUAUGGACUUCAUUUUAUCAUGCGAAUGACUGUAUUUAUUUUAUUCAAAUAGCGAGUUUUUAAUAAAUAAAUUAGUCUUCCUAAGAAAUUUUAAAUGAUUCUUAUAUCAUUUAUACUUUCUUUUCUAUUUUUUUUUAAGAAAAAUAUCAGAGCUUUUAUUAAUGAAAAACGGAAUGAGUUACAAUGAAUUAAAGCCUAUACUAUACUCACUCAGAACUGAGUUCCAAAUACAAAAUCCAGGGUGAGACAAAGCGGCCUCCCUAAGAGUGUAUUGGCAGACGACCUAUUAACUUGUCUCCAAAAGAACAUGUUCAGUUUAUUUUUGGUGCAAAACUAUUUUCUAUUAUCAAUACAAAGAUAAUUUAAUUUUUAUCAUUUUCACUUUAUUUUUGGUACGUCUUUUUUUUUUAUCGGAAAAAUUAUUAUGCGUUGCUACUUGCUAAAAUGAAACAAAAACAAAAAUAAAAACCAAAAAGUUGCGGAAUGAGGACACCCCCAGAUGCCCGGCCUGUUGGAAAUCACGCAGGCCUCGCGGCCCGUAUGAUUUGCUUUGCGCGAAUAGAAACGUAACUGGAAGAAGGUAUGGUUGCGGAGGCGACAGGUAAGCAGUCGGAGGGCCACGUGGUUAAGGACGCGUCAUCAAUCGUCACAGAAGCUAUAAGUAUCAACAGACCCCACAACGUGGCAGCAGAUGGUUGAUUGUUGUUUAGCCUCAUUCCUACAGUCAGCCAAGCCAACGUCGUUAUCGGUCCCCACCAUGAACCCAAUUACUUCCGGCUACCAAGCAUGGUUUACCUUUACCACCGUAUGCUUGUUUUUCAUUUAAAGAAAAUUUAUCCAUCCAUUAAUCAUCACUGUAAGGACAUUUUUCACUAAUACAGGGGAACAAAUAAAAAAUUUGAAAUAUUAUUACAAAUUUUUAUAAGAAAACAAUUUAAUUAAUCAUAUAUAGGUUUCCUUUCCCUUAUCUUUGCUGUAUUAUUUAUGAUUGAAACAAGUGAAUUAGAUUGAAUAAGUUUGAAGUUGUGUGGUGACACCUACACAUUACAAUAAACGUCCAUAUCAAUCAAGAUUAAUUCAAGGUUAGACAUGGCAAACAAGCUUUGGGCCACCUCAUAUCCACUGCGAUACGCAAUCCUACAUCGUUUUAUUGGUUCAAUUUUUAAAGCUAAAUGCCUAAAUCACAAAUAAUCUUUAAUAUAUAUAUAUAUAUAUAUAUAUAUAUAUAUAUAUAUAUNNNNNNNNNNUUAUAUAUAUAUAUAUAUAUAUAUUAAUAUAAAACGUGAAAAUUGUUACGUAUUAUACUAAUAUCACUUUGUCCUAAAAUAUUAAAAAAAAAACAACAGCUUGGUAUUCUUAAAGUUGCAAUAAAAGGCCUUCAAUAUUAAGCAGUUGCUUAUCCAAUAAUUAAUGUAAAUAGUUUUCAAUUAAUCAAAUCAAUUUAACUGUUGGAUUAAUAUUUUAAGUAUAUCCCGUUACGUUAUUAGAAUAUAAUUACAGUAGUUACUUAGAAAUGAAAAGAAAAUCGUGGGUUGGAAUUAUAGACUAUUAUUGGUAAUAUAUAUAUAUAAUUUAUAUAUUUAUAUUUCAUUGGUCCCACAUUGCUUUUUUGGGCAAACAACUCCCUGGCUUGCAUAGCUAUUAAUCUAAUCAAAUUGUAGGCGGUCCACUAGCAUAUAAUUUGCUUCAAGAUCAUAGAUAUUAUUCAAGAAAAAAAAAAGAGGUUGCAUUUUAUUUCAUCCGUAAUAAAGCAUUAAUGAAGAGUGGCUGCUAUAAAUUAUGAAAAGAAAUUAUUAUCAUAUCCGAAAAAGGUAUGAAAUACUUAUGAAAAUUAAAAAAAAAGAAACAAAUUAUUUUAUUAAAUUUUGAUUGCUAGUAGGAAAUUUGAUAUUUAGCUAUAAAAAAGUAUCAAAUUCAAAUCUCGCUGAUGUAAUAUUUUUUCAUAAUAGUACAAAAAUGUUAAAAUUUUUUAUAAAAACAAAUGAAGAGAUUUAUAUUCCAAAAUUAAACAUAUGUUUUUAUUUUUUGAGAAACAUUAUUUUGCCAUUUAGAACAGACAGGCAUUAUUUAUUUUAUUAUUGUUUGUGUAUUGGUAGGGACAGAAGUAUAAUUAAGAAAUAAAAAAAAGGACUCAAUAGCGAAAAAGAUGAUCAGCCACUUUUCAAUGGGGCCCACAAAAGAAUCCGUUACCACCAUUUAAUAUGAAAGAAUAUAUAUAAAUUAAAUGGCGGAAUCUUUUUAGACAAGGAAGGUAAGCGACGUCGUUUUGAAGGGGAAGACGAAUACGUACAAUUAUGAAUCUAGUAAACGAUGUCGCUUUGCGGAGCCAGGUAGUUUCCUUAGAAAGGCAAUCAAUGAUUAUAUAUUCCGUUACUAAUUACAAAUUCUCCAACAAGAUUUUUGAUUUUUUAAACUGAAAAAAGGAAUUAUUACGUUGAACAGAGCAGAGAGAGAAUCCGAGUGUCACUCUCUGCCAACGCAAGGUAGAAGAUACAUAGCCAAGCACAAAGGACCUACCAAACCAGUCCAGCUCAUUGUUUAAAGAUACAGUUACCCACUUUCAACUAUAAUAUCUCAACCAACACAACCUCUCUCUCUCUCUCUCUACUAUCACAAUUCACUUAUUAUCUUCUUUGCAAUUAAAUUCUCUUUUUGCCUUUUUCCUAACUUUCCUCGAUCAGUUCCUAAAUUGGAUAAGCAGGUACUGAUAUGGCUGAAGAAGAGUCCAAGAAGCUGGAAACUGAAACUCCCUCUCCUCCGGCUCCAGCUCCUGCUCCUGCUUCUGCUCCUGCUCCGGUAACCGAACCUGUUGAACCUCCAAAAGAUGUGGCUGAGGAGAAAUCCAUAAUUCCACCACCUUCGGAAGAGAAGACCGAGGAGUCCAAGGAGCUUGUUCCUGUUGA